Long non-coding RNA from Diceros bicornis minor, 665 nucleotides. RefSeq lists it as uncharacterized. The transcript is spliced from 6 exons. The record is from RefSeq and is a predicted model, not a curated record. NCBI's taxonomy places the organism in Eukaryota, Metazoa, Chordata, Mammalia, Perissodactyla, Rhinocerotidae.
GGGGAGGAAACAGAGCAAAUGGCUGCCUCCAAGGUUGGAGAGACAAGGAAGCUUAUCGAAUCAAAGACUCACGAGCAGAAACCACUGUGGGAACCAGUGCCAAGGGUGUUUGUCUAGGCCAGAAAAAUACAUAUACAUGGAGGCCCGUGGCUCAGAAUGGAAAGUUUGGAAAAGAUCCUUUCUACAACCAGACUUUUGAUAAAAGGCGGAGUAUUUCAGGGAUGAGAAGAGGAACAGAGCAUUUCUAGGCUGUAAUCCCAUUUUCUUUCUUGGAAAUCAAUCCAGAUUGACACAGAUGAGGAUAUAUCUUAAGUGAAGAAAAAAAGAAAGAAGAAAGGAUCAUUCUCUCUCAGCCUGAAAACCUACAGAUCAAGCACACAACAGGUCUUCGCAAAGAAAAAACAGGAGUCACAGAGAGAAGAUGGACGGCACUAGACUCCUGGAGACCAUCUGCGGACCAGAGCAGUGACUGGAAAGCAGGGCUCUCACAAGAGAAAGCGAGAGUGAGCAAGCACCAACCCCUAGAGACCAACCUGGAUCAAGGUGUAAAUGUUACAUUCCUAUAUCAGGGAAUGAGACAUAACCUGAUAACUUGAUGCCACAUCACCUCCCAGAGGAUAGCAAGCUGCAGCCCGUGUGGUGGUAUAAGGAAGAAUCAAGGUGUG